Oncorhynchus keta (chum salmon) is the source of this 3003-nucleotide long non-coding RNA. RefSeq lists it as uncharacterized. The record is from RefSeq and is a predicted model, not a curated record. NCBI's taxonomy places the organism in Eukaryota, Metazoa, Chordata, Actinopteri, Salmoniformes, Salmonidae. The transcript is spliced from 2 exons.
ACAGAAGACCCCACCCCUGCCCAACAAGACCUAGUCACAGCAGACCCCACCCCUGCCCAACAAGACCUAGUCACAGAAGACCCCACCCCUUCCCAACAAGACCUAGUCACACCAGACCCCACCCAGGCCCAACAAGACCUAGUCACACCAGACCCCACCCAGGCCCAACAAGACCUAGUCACACCAGACCACUCCCAGGCCCAACAAGACCUAGUCACACCAGACCACUCCCAGGGCCAACAAGACCUAGUCACACCAGAAUCCAAAGAAUCCAAGCUAGGCACGCCCACACCAGAACCCAACCAGGAAACAGUUCCAGCUCCAGAGACAGCUCCAGGCCAAAAAUACCCAAUCAUAACAGAGACAGCUUCAGGCCAAAAAUACCCAAUCACAACAGAGACAGCUCCAGGCCAAACAGAAUCAGCAGGCACAACACCCAAAUCGAAUUCCACUAAAUGCAGAAACAGAUAAACCCAACCAGGACAUAGGGCACAAGAAGGCCCUGCUAGACCUGGACAACCCAGGUCUUAAACAGGAGAAUGAACUAGACCAAGAAUCAGACAAGCCCCAAGAGGAGAUGACAAACCUGUACACGGGAGAUGGUAAACAUGAGAGCGACUCAGGCACUUAAUGAUGAAUGAAGAAAAGCCAGAGAUAAAGAUCCAAGGAGAAGGACCGUACACAGCAGACCACAAAGACAAUAACCAAACAAAUCAACAUACACAGGAGGACAACCAGGACAUCCAGUCAGGGGAGUGAAGACAGAAUGAUGAUGUGGAAGAAUAAGGGAAAGGGCAAAGAGUAAGUAAUGAGGAGAACAGAGAUGGGAUAAUGGACCACAAUAGAUGUAUGGGUGCAAACACAGAGGAUGAUGGGGGAAAUGAAGUAGAGAUGGAGGAGGAAGGGAUAGAGCAGAAGGAACCAGACACAGAGGAAGAAGGAGAUAAUACCAAACAAACAUCUACUCAGAGUGAUGAGGAGCUGGAUGAGAAACCCAUCACAGACCCCAAUGAGCAGCACAUUACCCAGACUACACUACAGGGUUGUCCACUGGGUAGUCCAGUGACAAUAAUCCCUAAUGCAAAUAACCCAGUAGAAUUAUGGGUAAGCUGUAUGACUUUAAAUCCACUGUUUUUGAGAUGACACUAAAGUUUGGAUAACAGGUCUCCACCUUAUUUUCUACUGAGCUGCUACCCUCAUACUGUUAGAAGAAAAACUCUGGCGAAGAAAAUGCUGGAUGCUACAGUGUAAUACAAGCAUUGGAAUUUCUUGAUUUUGGUUUCAUAGUUUGCAAACAGCAUUUUAUUCUCUAGUUAUGUUUCAGUUCUACGUACCUGUGGUAGCUAACAUAAUACAUUAUUUACUACAAGUUAAUACACUAUUUGUUAUUUUAGCUCAAUUUAAAUAUAUGUUUUAAUGAACCUUAACAUACUGUUAUUGCUAAAGAACUUACUUAGGCUACUGAUAUGCCAUCUUGAUGGGUUGUCAGAGAUCCUCAGUGAUCAGUGUAAAUAAAUAAAUGUUAACAGAAUGAUGUGAAUAAAUGACUAGAACAAGCGGUUGUCACUCUGCAUCACGUGGGACUAAACAGCCCUCAGUAGUGGCCUGCGUUCAUGGAUGCCAAGGGAAGCCGCAACUAUUUAAACAAUCAAUAAAUACAAAUUCUCAAAUAAUUUUAUAUAUAUUUUUUUCUUCAUAAUUUUACGUCAAUUCGCAAGUGGCUGAAUCUCACUGGAGAAAUCAUCGGAGCGAGGGAAAUGGCACCCGUCUGUUGUGUAGCCUACAGUACUGUAUGUAUCUGAUGCUGUCUGGACCAAAAAAGUAUAACAUGUUGCCGCUGUAGCAUUUGAUUGGUUGAUGCCAGCAAGCAUUUGGCCUCAUUUGAUAAAAAAAUAAAUAGCCAAUCAGCGUUGAGCUGAGCUGUCUCGGCGCAGGUGUGCUGGAUGUACCCGGGUGUAUUGCAAUGUGCUGAACAAGACUGGUUACUCGCAUCAAUGACUCUGUCUCGUCAUUUAACAUCCAAACAUGGUGUCAGAAGCGGGAUGACUAUCCAUGAUAUCCGCAAAUUAGAGCAAUCCUUUGGUUAAAAAUCGCCAUAAUUCACCUUCGCUAUAUAGUGUUGUUAGCAUCGAGAUAGAAAUGGCAGUGAACAUUCCCCUUCCCACAGUUAUGAUGCUCAGCGGAGAUUGGAGCACGAAUUGGGAUACGUCCAGAGGUGAAUGGGAGGACUAGCCACGGGACUUCUGGAAAAGGAUGAAGAUGUAGUGGCUGCCAUUUUGAGGACUAUAAUGGGAGCUGAAUGCCGACAAGUAUACAAACACAACCCAAACCUAACAGCAGCUCAGCAAGGUAGAGUCUGAUUCAGCCAGUCUCCCGUCUGUCAUGAGCCGCCAGAGUCUCCCGUCUGUCAUGAGCCGCCAGAGCUGCCAGUCUGUCAUGAGCUACCCCUCAGUCCGGAGCUGCCCCUCAGUCCAGUGGGGCCAUUUAGAAGGGUCGCCGUGUUUAGAAGCCCACGGAGGCGGACAAUGAGGCGGAGAAAGACUGUGGUGAAGUGGGAUCCACGUCCCGCGCCAGAGCCGCCACCGCGGACAGACGCCCACCCAGAUCCUCCCCUAUAUGUUAAGGUUUUGCGGCCGGAGUCCGCACCUUUGGGAGGGGUACUUUCCCGUUCUGAACUUUAUUUCCUUUGUUUUGUCAUUAUUUACUAUGGUCAGGGUGUGAGUUGGGGUGGGCAGUCUAUGUUUGUUUUUCUAUGAUUUUGGGAUUUCUAUGUUUCGGCCUAGUAUGGUUCUCAAUCAGAGGCAGGUGUCAUUAGUUGUCUCUGAUUGAGAAUCAUACUUAGGUAGCCUGGGUUUCACUGUUUGUUUGUGGGUGUUUGUUUCCGUGUCUGUGUUUUUCACCACACUGUACUGUUUGGGGUUUCGUUCAUUCCACGUUUAUUGUUUUUGUAUUCAGUUGUGUUCAUGUUGGGUAUUUCUUAUUAAAAGAACCAAUAGACACUUA